This 277-nucleotide ribosomal RNA is filed under the name uncultured bacterium. RNAcentral describes it as "partial 16S ribosomal RNA". It matches the Rfam family "Bacterial small subunit ribosomal RNA", at positions 28 to 328 of the family's 1533-position model. The record is from RNAcentral.
GAUAAACGCUGGCGGCGUGCCUAACACAUGCAAGUCGAACGUCCUCUGGCAACAGAGGGAGUGGCGGACGGGUGAGUAACACGUGGGUAUCUCCCACAAGGUGAGGAAUACCACCGAGAAAUCGGUGACAAGACCGCAUACGCUCGUAAGAGCAAAGCCGCAAGGCGCCUUGUGACGAGCCUGCGUCUGAUUAGCUAGUUGGUGGGGUAAGAGCCUACCAAGGCCACGAUCAGUAGCUGGUCUGAGAGGAUGAUCAGCCACACUGGGAUUGAGAACG